RNAcentral lists this ribosomal RNA (253 nucleotides) under uncultured bacterium. RNAcentral's name for it is "partial 16S ribosomal RNA". It matches the Rfam family "Bacterial small subunit ribosomal RNA", at positions 524 to 776 of the family's 1533-position model. The record is from RNAcentral.
UACGGAGGGGGCUAGCGUUGUUCGGAAUUACUGGGCGUAAAGGGCUCGUAGGCGGCCAACUAAGUCGGAUGUGAAAUCCCCAGGCUCAACCUGGGAACUGCAUCCGAUACUGGAUGGCUUGAAUUCGGGAGAGGGAUGCAGAAUUCCAGGUGUAGCGGUGAAAUGCGUAGAUAUCUGGAGGAAUACCGGUGGCGAAGGCGGCAUUCUGGACCGACAUUGACGCUGAGGAGCGAAAGCCAGGGGAGCAAACGGG